Molecule: ribosomal RNA, 468 nt
Filed under: uncultured bacterium
Lineage: Bacteria
Description: partial 16S ribosomal RNA
Rfam family: Bacterial small subunit ribosomal RNA
Source: RNAcentral
GACGAACGCUGGCGGCGUGCUUAACACAUGCAAGUCGAACGGAAAGGCCCUGCUUUUGUGGGGUGCUCGAGUGGCGAACGGGUGUGUAACACGUGAGUAACCUGCCCUUGACUUUGGGAUAACUUCAGGCAACUGGGGCUAAUACCGGCUAGGAGCUCCUGCUGCAUGGUGGGGGUUGGACAGUUUCGGCGGUUGGGGGUGGACGCGCGGGUUAUCAGCUUGUUGGUGGGGUAGUGGCUUACCCAGGCUUUGACGGGUAGCCGGCCUGGGAGGGUGACCGGCGACAUUGGGACUGAGAUACGGCCCAGACUCCUACGGGAGGCAGCAGGGGGGAGUAUUGCACAAUGGGCGGAAGCCUGAUGCAGCAACGCCGCGUGCGGGAUGACGGCCUUCGGGUUGUAAACCGCUUUCGCCUGUGACGAAGCGUGAGUGACGGUAAUGGGUAAAGAAGCACCGGCUAACUACGUG